GGCUGGUCUGAAGGUAAUGAGUUAUCUCACUUGAUUGUUCAGUCAGUUAGAGAUUGAACUCCUUGUUCUACUACUUUCCCCGCUUCUCACUAUUGCACUUGACUAGUCUUAA
RNAcentral lists this Y RNA (112 nucleotides) under Prolemur simus (greater bamboo lemur). RNAcentral's name for it is "Y RNA (ENSPSMG00000013775.1)". It matches the Rfam family "Y RNA". Rfam says of the family: Y RNAs are components of the Ro ribonucleoprotein particle (Ro RNP), in association with Ro60 and La proteins. The Y RNAs and Ro60 and La proteins are well conserved, but the function of the Ro RNP is not known. In humans the RNA component can be one of four small RNAs -- hY1, hY3, hY4 and hY5. The record is from Rfam by way of RNAcentral. Lineage: Eukaryota; Metazoa; Chordata; Mammalia; Primates; Lemuridae.